Molecule: ribosomal RNA, 513 nt
Filed under: uncultured bacterium
Lineage: Bacteria
Description: partial 16S ribosomal RNA
Rfam family: Bacterial small subunit ribosomal RNA
Source: RNAcentral
GACGAACGCUGGCGGCAUGCCUAAUACAUGCAAGUCGAGCGAACAGAUGAAGUGCUUGCACUUCUGACGUUAGCGGCGAACGGGUGAGUAACACGUAAGGAAUCUACCUAUAAGCGGGGGAUAACAUUCGGAAACGGGUGCUAAUACCGCGUAAUAUCUUCUUCCGCAUGGAAGAAGAUUGAAAGACGGCUCUGCUGUCACUUAUAGAUGACCUUGCGGUGCAUUAGUUAGUUGGUGGGGUAACGGCCUACCAAGACGAUGAUGCAUAGCCGACCUGUGAGGGUGAUCGGCCACAUUGGGACUGAGACACGGCCCAAACUCCUACGGGAGGCAGCAGUAGGGAAUCUUCCGCAAUGGGCGAAAGCCUGACGGAGCAAUGCCGCGUGAGUGAAGAAGGCCUUCGGGUCGUAAAACUCUGUUAUAAGAGAAGAACAAAUUGUAGAGUAACUGCUGCAGUCUUGACGGUAUCUUAUCAGAAAGCCACGGCUAACUACGUGCCAGCCGCCGCAGUAA